This 547-nucleotide ribosomal RNA is filed under the name Cervus nippon (sika deer). RNAcentral describes it as "partial large subunit ribosomal RNA". It matches the Rfam family "Bacterial large subunit ribosomal RNA", at positions 1816 to 2597 of the family's 2925-position model. Lineage: Eukaryota; Metazoa; Chordata; Mammalia; Artiodactyla; Cervidae. The record is from RNAcentral.
CACCUCCAGCAUAACCAGUAUUGGAGGCACUGCCUGCCCAGUGACAACCGUUAAACGGCCGCGGUAUCCUGACCGUGCAAAGGUAGCAUAAUCACUUGUUCUCUAAAUAGGGACUUGUAUGAAUGGCCACACGAGGGUUUUACUGUCUCUUACUUCCAAUCAGUGAAAUUGACCUUCCCGUGAAGAGGCGGGAAUAUAUUAAUAAGACGAGAAGACCCUAUGGAGCUUUAACUACUUAGCCCAAAGAAACAAAUUUUAUUACUAAGGAAACAACAACACUCUUUAUGGGCUAACAGCUUUGGUUGGGGUGACCUCGGAGAACAAGAAAUCCUCCGAGCGAUUUUAAAGACUAGACCUACAAGUCGAAUCACACAAUCGUUUAUUGAUCCAAAAAAUUGAUCAACGGAACAAGUUACCCUAGGGAUAACAGCGCAAUCCUAUUCAAGAGUCCAUAUCGACAGUAGGGUUUACGACCUCGAUGUUGGAUCAGGACAUCCCGAUGGCGCAACCGCUAUCAAAGGUUCGUUUGUUCAACGAUUAAAGUCCU